Long non-coding RNA from Talpa occidentalis (Iberian mole), 1434 nucleotides. RefSeq lists it as uncharacterized. NCBI's taxonomy places the organism in Eukaryota, Metazoa, Chordata, Mammalia, Eulipotyphla, Talpidae. The transcript has 6 exons. The record is from RefSeq and is a predicted model, not a curated record.
GAUUCCGGCAUAAGGCAGAAGGGGAAGACUCUUACCUAAGAGUCUCACAAGCACUGCAACAGCCAGUAGAUGAAUAAUGGGAACAAACUGAUUAAGACCAUAUAUGAGACCCACUGGGGGCUCCAGAAAAGACUGGGAACUUUGUAGUAGAGACAAUAUCACUAGUGAAGACUGGACAAAGGUGUGUUCAGCAUUUCAGGACAAGACAUCUAUUAGAUCAAGUAUGAUUUCUGACAGCUAAUUCACCCAUUCAUUCAAUAAAUAUUUUUAGAGCAUCUAAUAUACACCAAGAAUUAUGCUAAAUGCUGUGGAAUACAAAGCAAAUUUUCCAGUAGCCAAAGUGAAAUAGGAAAUAAGGCAUUUUCUCAUAUUAAUAAAGCAUUGAUUUAAAUGUUCAAGGUCAUGAGAAGAUUGCUGAGGAGGCAGUCAAAAUUGUGAACAUUGAUUUUUUUAAAAUGUACAUAAAAAGAUAAAUGAGGGGAUUGUUUGAGUUGAAUGUCAACGAGAAAGAGAGAGAGAGAGAGAGAGAGAGAGAGAGCGCUCGGGUGCUAACUACUACCUGCUUAAGUAUAACUCAAUCUACUAAAAAGAAAGAAAGAAGCAAAAAAGAGAAACACUUCAUAUCGUACCAGUCUCUUCUUUUUUUUCCAUGUUCUUCCUUACUUGGUUUUUAAAGCUUUAAGCCAUUUUACUGUGCAUCAAUGUAGAUAAAGAAUAGCCAGAGAGUCUUUGCUUUGGGUCAGGUGCAGGGUAAUUCUUGCAUGAAAUUAGCUAUUUCUUGGCAGAGCUAAAAAUAACAAACUGUCUGAGAUGCUGCCAUGGCUCAUCCAGCUUUCAAGCAAGCUUUUCUAAUUUCUGACAUGGAGAUCUGAUCUUCUGUUCAUGGCUAUAACGCACCUGAAGAAAGCAUUUCCUGUGGAUAUUGACAGAAAGAUAUCACGACUUUCAGAGUCUAGUAUUUCAGGAAAUAAAUGUCAUUAUGGACUCAAGAUUACAUAUGCAAAUUCAGCCCUAUACAUGGCAGAAAAGGAACAUGAUUACAUUUAUUAUGUAGAGCUGACCAUUCACACUGUGAAUUGGGUGCUCCUAGUACAUGGUGUAGACAUGUAGUUACUAUAAAAGUAAGAAAGAAAUGGGUGCUUGACUUCAGCAAGAGAGGUAAGGUAAUGCCUGAUGGGGAAAGUUAAGCUAGACCUUCAGGAAUGUUGAAGGAAGAAAAUACAUGUUGAAGGAAUAAAAUAGAUGUUUGGAGAUGGGAUUACAGGUUGUGGGGGGCAUGCACAUAGGAAGCAUACAAAGGCCAUAUGUCCAGUGAAAGAAAGAUAUAAACUCCUAUAAAAUUAAGUACAAAAAAUAUAGUUCUCAAAUAUAAAUCCUGUUGUAUAUAUAUUGUCUCAUUACAGAGUAUAGUUGGACUUGGUCAUUUUACAGUCU